CCUACGGGUGGCAGCAGUGGGGGAUAUUGGACAAUGGGGGAAACCCUGAUCCAGCGAUGCCGCGUGAGGGAAGAAGGUUUUCGGCUCGUAAACCUCUGUGGCGGGGGACGAUAAUGACGGUACCCUGUUUGGAAGCCACGGCUAAAUACGUUGCCGCAGCCGCGGUAAUACGUAGGUGGCGAGCGUUGUUCGGAAUUACUGGGUGUAAAGGGAGGGGAGGGGGGAAAGCAAGUCAGAAGUGAACACUAUGGGCUUAACCCAUAGCCUGCUUUUGAAACUGAUUGUCUUGAGUGAAGUAGAGGCAAGCGGAAUUCCUAGUGUAGCGGUGAAAUGCGUAGAUAUUAGGAGGAACACCAGUGGCGAAGGCGGCUUGCUGGGCUUCUACUGACGUUGAGGCUCGAAAGCGUGGGGAGCAAACAGGAUUAGAUACCCUUGUAGUC
This 440-nucleotide ribosomal RNA is filed under the name uncultured bacterium. Its description in RNAcentral is "partial 16S ribosomal RNA". It matches the Rfam family "Bacterial small subunit ribosomal RNA", at positions 338 to 795 of the family's 1533-position model. The record is from RNAcentral.